Molecule: long non-coding RNA, 4857 nt
Organism: Canis lupus familiaris (dog)
Lineage: Eukaryota; Metazoa; Chordata; Mammalia; Carnivora; Canidae
Exons: 2
Source: RefSeq, a predicted model, not a curated record
ACUUGCUACUCUUAAAAAUUAUCAGGCAAGAUUAAAAAAAAAAAACAAAAACUAUUGGGCAAGAUAAAUAAGUACUAAGGAUAUAAUGUGUAGCCUAAUGACCACAGGUAACACUGCUGUAUGAUAUAUAGGAAAGUUGCAAAGAAAGUAAAUUUUAAGAGUUCUUAUCAGAAGGGAAGAAAAUAAAAAUAUUCCUUGUUUUUAAAAGAAAUUUACUCCAAAGCACUUCUAUCUAUGUAGGUUAUAGCUAUCAAUAUGUACCACGUUAGAGAUUCAAACACAUUUUUUUUAAUGUUUCAAUUCAUUUCAAGUAACAGUAAUAAACCCUUUACAUGUUAACAUAAAUAUGUCUUUGAAAAAUAACCAUUUUCCGAAACAAUGAAAGAUAUUUAAUGAGAAUGUUAAAUUGUAAGCAUUGUCUUACAACUCUUUUUAAAUAAGUUUUAACAGAAAAUAGAUUCUCGUUUCUGAGUACUUGUUGUCUGGGGGAUAUUUUAGCUGAAGUAUGUGAAGAACAUCUGGCUACUUGCAGCUAUAUAGCUGGGAAAGGGAGGAGUAUUUUAAUAGCCUUUUCAGAAAAUUGUAAAUAUUCUUGGAUACCACACCAUGACUUGAUAAAUGGUACUUUCUUUAAGAUGAGUUGCUAUGUGAAAUCCGAAACCGCAUCAGUGAACAUUUCCUAUUAUCUUACAGUAAAAUCCAGUGGUUUACUUUUGACGUUGAAUUGAUAUUUUACCCUUGCGUGAUACAACAUUGGUCAUUUGGAGAAUGCCGGUUCACUGUGCUACAUAGCUCUUCCAAGUGCUGACCGCAUUUCAUUAUACAGUAUCCCCAAAUCACAUUUCUAUAAAUAUCACAGCAGAUCUCAUUAGAAAAGUCCUUUAAGCAUUGGGGAACUGUCAACCUCACCGUGGCAAGUUUUCUAAGACUCUUUUAUCUUGAAAGCUUGAGUUUUAUCAGUUCAUUUUCCUUGAAGUGAUAGGCUUACUUUGUUCAUUUUCAAGAAAAGGUUUGCCAUGUACCCAAACCUGAGUAACCACAGUCUCUUAGUCUUUCUUUCUGGUGAACAUGUUUCAUGAGCCAAGAAGCUAGUUUGGGUUGCAACUCAAACAACUGAGCAAGUGCUCUUUCUGGAGUACUUGGGUAUGCACUAUGGGCGCUUUGUGUCUGUUCCCCCAUCUCAUCCAGGGAAUGUUAGAACGACUCAAGGGUUAAGAUUUAAUACAAUUAAGAUUUAAUACAAGCCUUUUUCAGGCUUCACCAAGGACAUUUUUAAGUGAAAUGGGUCUGUUUUCUUCUCUUUUGCCCCCAGUGUGUAGUGGUAAAUGGUACUAGCACAAGUUGGUGCUCCACCUUGAUUCAGCAACACUUUACCCACCACUUGCUUUGUCAUCCAUGCAAAUAUCAACACAAUGAAAAGGGCAAAUCACAUUUCAUUUCAGUAGUUUAAUGAAAGUAGUUUUGACCAUGUGGAAUCCCUGAAAGAGCCUGAGGGACCAUGCUUUGAGAACCACUGCCCUCGACAAGUGUGGUGCCAGCCUGACGGGCACUUGGAGCUGUCUGUUCACUGUCGGCUCUGCCCCUUUGUAUUUAUGUGCUUCGUGGCCUGGUGAUGUGGCCUGAGAUUUUUUUUAAAGGGUUUAUCAUUCCCCCUUCACCUGUAAUUUUAUCUCCCCUAAUAUCAUAGUGAGUGUGCAAGGUAUGAUGAAUGUCUUCACUUUAAGAAAAAAGAGACCAAACCUAUAUAUAUGUACGUCUAUAUAUAGAUAUAGAUACAUACAGGCUAGCUUGGCUUGCUGCAGAUGAACAAAUGAAACAGUCCGUUAUGGUUUCGCAAAUUAGAAUAUCACAGACUCUCUUCUUAUUUAAUGCCCCUGUGUUAAAAUGUUAAUAAAAGACAGUGAAUGAAUCAAGUAACCGCGUUAUAUUUUAAGAGGAUGGAGUGUUCAGCGGUGGCACAUCAGCCACCCAGGCAGGCUGUUGGCAAGACGGGCUCUGAGUUCUAAUGAAAACUCGGUCCGCCUGGUGGGGCCUUCUUUCCUACUUCCUUUUCACUGAGUUGUUCUUUCUAACUGCAGAUGAGGCUGAUUGGCCAUCUUCAUAGUAGAGUUGGAGCUUUUAAUUAUCUCUGGCAGCCCGAGAAGAGGCGAUAAGCAACACAGCCAUCAACACUUGAACAACACGUGUCGGCGCUGAUUAGCGCGGCUGGUUAGAGCGAGGACUAAUGAGGCCGAGGUCACGGACGCGGCCCGGCAGCCCAGGUAGCCCUGCCACCCUGCAAACUGCAGUCCCCGCCCAGGCAGCUGCCUCGCAGAUGCUCAUGGCCUUCUGGAAGGGGGCCAGGGAGCCACCAGCCAGCAGUCAGCACGGACUCCUUUUGUUUAAAAACCAAGCAAAAUAAAAAACAGGUUCUCUAAUGUACCACCCCCUGUGAUCCCUCUCUAGGAAUAUCAGACUUAAUUAUUCAAAUUUAAUUUGUUAGCCAUUUGGUGGUUAAUUUUUAAAAAACCUAAUGAUUUAUUAGCAUUUUUAUAACAAGCAACAUUUAAUAUCUAUUAAUGAGAGUUCAAAUGGAUCAACUAUUUAAUUUCUUAAUGAAAUGAAUCAGAAAAGUAUUACUUGGAAGAAACUCCACACUGAGCGUGUUCUCAGCAUGUUUUGUGACCUCGAUUCCUUCGUACUAUUGGAGGAGUCAGAAACGGAGGGGAGCAGGGAGCGGAUUCAGGGUCCCCACCUGACCUCCCCCAGGGGAAAGCACUGGCUUCUGAGAGGGAAGCAGGGGCUGGGGAAGGGCAUGGUGCAGAUCCCACAGUCCAAUGCCCAGGUCUCCGUGUCGGAUCACCUCCCUGUACCACAUCCCCGGGAUGCUGACCGUGCGUGGCAGGCUGGCCCCACGUCACACCCAGGGCAGGUGGAAGGUCCAGUCUGCCUUCCAGCAAAGUGCCGUGCAGAAGUACACAUGCGCACGAAUCCAGCCCUGUGCUGCCUGGCAUAUUUUGAUGGAGCCACUACUAAUAUAGUUUUUAAGCUUUUAUUUAUUUAUUCAUGAGAGACACAGAGAGAGGCAAAGGGAGAAGCAGGCUCCCUGCAGGGAGCCCGAUGCGGGACUCGAUCCCAGGACCCUGGGGUCACACCCUGGGCCGAAGGCAGGUGCUAAACUGAGCCACCCAGGUGUCCUGGGCUCUUUAUCAAACCCAGGGGCACCCUGAUUUCAGAGCAGCUGGGGCCUUCUCACUGGGUGCUAGAGGAGUGGCUACAGGAAGGACUGGCUGUGGGGUGGGCCUCCCCCAGCACGGGACACUCGGGUUAAGCUGGUCCCCUGCGGUGUAGGUAGGGGGGUGCAGGGCGCCCAGGCCAAGCAGGUGGAAGCCUGGGCUCCCCGGGUUUGCAGCCUGGAUGUGGGUCUCGAGGCCAGAGCAGAUGAGAAGCGUGGGAGCCCAGUUUAAUUGAGGAAAGGAUUAGUUGUUUCAGCCCCAGUGGCGGUGCCGGCAAACUGGGUGCUUCGGGCCCUCAAGGUGCUGCGGCCAGUUAGGGAGUCAGCUGGAACCUCGGGCGCAGGCAGCCCCGUUCCCUGCCAUCCGAUGUACUGCCAACUUGCUUUAGAGCCAUCACUCGGCUCAACUGGGGUGAUGUUUCCAUUUAGAGCCCUGCUCAGUCAGGACUCUGAAGAGGCUCAUUGUCUAGGAGUGGGCGUCCUGCCUGUCCUCUCUUGGACACCACGGUGACACCACUCACCGGCCAAGUGAGUUGUUAGUCCCUGGACUAGGGUUGGCAGGGUUCCACUGUCUCAGGAAUGGCAGCAGGGUUUGUACGGAAGAUCCUGGGCUCUUAAAAUGCAAGCUCGGCGCCUCCACAUCAGGAGCCCAGGUGCUGUUUGCGAGUCGCAUUGGUGGGUGGGCAGCAUGGUGCAGCUGACCCCGGAGAAUGUUAGAGCCCCCGGAGGAUGUUAGAGACCCUGGAGAAUAUUAGAGUUUACAGCCAGCUGGUCUUGUGGUUUUUCUCUGUGGAUGAGGGGUGUGCAGUUAAGGGGCUUACCCAGGCUUCCACAGCCUGAGAGGUAGAAUCGGGACCAGAACACAGGCGUCCCGCCUUGGAGGCCAGUGCCCCGACGGGGUCACAGGGCUAAGUACCGUGGGGUGAAGCUGGGUCUGCAGCUCAAGCGGGCAUGAGGGCACCACACUGUGGCUUUCCACCACGGGGGAGAUCCAGCCUCCUCUCUACCCUCCUGUUCUGGAUGCUCCAACCUUGCUGUUUCAUUUCUUUUUCUUUUCUAUUUUUUAAAAGAUGUUAUUUAAUUGAGACUGAGAGAGUAAGCGAGAGCACACCGUGGUGGAGAAGGAGAGGCAGAGGGAGAGGGAGAAGCAGAACCCUGCUGUGGGGCUUCAUCCCAGGACCCCGGGGUCAUGACCUGAGCCAAAGGCACCGACUGAGCCACCAGGUCUCCCAGCUGCUUUGUUUCUUGAGCACUUUUUCUCAGCAGGUUUGUCCUAUCUCCUGCAUGGAGGAAAAUUGCUUUCUGUAAAUCUUGGUCCAACAGAACAAAACACCUAUAUCUUUCGAGUUGGGGAGACAGCCAUUCUCAUCGGCAUAAUGAAGGUAUUGUAAGCUGUGACUUUUACGAAGUCUGAGGGAAACCAAUCUGCAAUCUUGACAGAUAUGAUCUUUCCGGGAUGCACUGUUCGUUUACGGUGGCGAGAGACCUCAAUUAAUUUAUGAGUGAGGACAGCAGGAUGUGACCCCUUGUGUGUAGUCUAGGUGGAGCUGUCCCUGUCUGAAUUUAUGUUCUGGUAAUUUAAAAAGAUUUAUAUUAAGCUUUUCUUUCAUUUUGAGAGUAGAUUAAAAUUCUAAUGGAAACCA